AAAAAGGCUCUUUUCAGAGCCACCACUUCAUCAUUUGAAAGAGCCU
Rattus norvegicus (Norway rat) is the source of this 46-nucleotide non-coding RNA. Lineage: Eukaryota; Metazoa; Chordata; Mammalia; Rodentia; Muridae. The record is from Rfam.